AUGCCAUCGAGAAAUCAUCUUGACAAAAUCGGAAGGAAGAAGAAGAAGAAAUGGACAGAGGAGGCCAUGGAACGUGCACUGAUUGAGGUGAAGUCGGGAAGGUGUACGGUGAGACAGGCUGCCAAGGAGUUUGGAGUCCCUAAAUCUUCACUGGGGGACAGAGUCAGUGGACGGGUGACACCAGGGAGUCGCAGCGGGCCAGCUCAGCUUAUAACAUCUGCCGACGAGGAGCUGUUGGUGGAGUUCUCUUUAUAUAUGUCCAAGCACGGAUUUCCACUGACCAAGCAACAGCUGGUGUCCUUUGCCUCAUCCAUUUAUAAGCGGCAGCAUCGGAGGGUGGCAUUUUCUAAACUAGGCCAGACCUGGUGGCUCAAUUUUAGAAAACGGCAAGAAAAGAAUAUUACCAUUCAGCCAGCAGACAAUGUUGUCCGUGGGAGGACAGUAUGUGUGAGGAAGGAAGCAGUGGAUCAGUUUUUUCAUUUACUGAGCACUGUCAUGGACGCUCAUGGGCUCAGAGACAAGCCUCACCAAAUCUUCAACUGCAAUGAGAUGGGCUUUCAGCUGGGCAGGAAGAGGGUGAUUCUCCCCAAAUCUGCCAGUCUGGGCUACAAGCCAGCACCAGGCCUGAGGGACCACAUCUCUGUCCUGGCUUGCUUUAGCGCAGCUGGAGAGGACGUUCCCCCAUUUAUUAUCUACUCAAAGGCCUAUCCAGGGGGAGUCUGUUACAAGACACAAGGGCCUCUGAAUGCCCUCUAUGGAUGGUCAGACUCGGGGUGCGUCAACUCUGACCUUUUCAAGAAAUGGUUCCUCAAACACUUCCUCCUGCACGCACCGAAGAAGCGCCCGCUGCUGCUGAUGUUCGACGGCCACAAGUCCCCCGUGAACCUUGAGGUGGUGGAAGCAGCUCGUAGGGAGGACGUCAUCCUCCUGUGCCUUCCGCCUCAUUGCUCUCACAUCCUGCAGCCGCUCGACGCGGGUCUCUUUGUCCUCCUGAAGCAGCGUUUCGCUGCACUCAUCGGUGAUGGUGGCGCCGCUGAUAAUCACUUUGCAGUCAGCAAGAAAGAGUUCUCAGGUGUGUUUAAAGGGGCGUAUCAGAUAGUGAACGAGGAGGAGGAGGAGGAGGAGGGUGCCAGGACUGUGAAGGAGGGCUUUAGGAAAUGUGGCAUCUACCCGUUAAACCACUUCACCAUCAACGAGGAUCAUUUAAUGCCAUCGCUCGGCAUUGGCCCGGCAGCUGGACCCUCGCUGUCCACAUCAGCACAGGGGGUGCACACUGUAGGAGACCUCACAGCUGCUGGACCCUCCUCCUAA
RNAcentral lists this long non-coding RNA (1311 nucleotides) under Dicentrarchus labrax (European seabass). RNAcentral describes it as "lncRNA (ENSDLAG00005025599.2)". The record is from RNAcentral. Lineage: Eukaryota; Metazoa; Chordata; Actinopteri; Moronidae.